This 403-nucleotide long non-coding RNA is filed under the name Mytilus galloprovincialis (Mediterranean mussel). Lineage: Eukaryota; Metazoa; Mollusca; Bivalvia; Mytilida; Mytilidae. The record is from RNAcentral.
GCGGGGAAAACCGGAACAGGAACUAGAUCUGAAAAAAAAAGUUAACGAUUUUGAGUUCAUUAGUAGAAUGAAAAAUUCGGGAAAUUUUCCAGAUUUUUUUUUUUUUUUUUUUUUUAUUGAUUUUUCUACCGUAAUUGGGGACUUCGUCCCCAUAUAAUUCUGACAAGCUUUUUGGAUUAUCUAAAGUAAAGUAAGAGCUGUAGGGUGAUUACUUACAAGACAAAUGCUUACCCUUCACUGAAAACUGGGGAUGUUAAGGUGGGGUUUACAAUUAUAUGAAUUUCAAUAGUUUUGUGAUGCAAAUUGAAGUACUUGGUUGAUAUAUGGCAAUGACCUGAAUGUUGGAAAAAUUGCAAACAUUAAUAUUUUAACAUGACCAAAGCACUAACCAUGUAUCUGUUGU